CCAGCUUGAAAUCAAAUUUCAAUAUUUGUGUUUUAACCAGAAAAAUUGUUUUGUUUUUAUUAGCUCAAAAUCUGAUUUCAGCCUCCACGUCAAUCCAAUUGUCCAGAAUUCUACAGAAUCCGUAGUGCUGGUCAGGGUAAAUACAGAUUAUGAACUGCUCCAGAUGACGUUUUGACGGGCCUUACCUGUCCUGACGGCGUUGCGAGCCUGGUUGACCGUCAUCUGCGAGCUGACGUGCAACGGCACUUUGGGCUGCUGGCCGGUCGCGGUCUGAGCCGCCGUCACGGCCGCCGCGG
Molecule: long non-coding RNA, 296 nt
Organism: Syngnathoides biaculeatus (alligator pipefish)
Lineage: Eukaryota; Metazoa; Chordata; Actinopteri; Syngnathiformes; Syngnathidae
Exons: 3
Source: RefSeq, a predicted model, not a curated record